GACGAACGCUGGCGGCGUGCCUAAUACAUGCAAGUCGAACGAACUCUGGUAUUGAUUGGUGCUUGCAUCAUGAUUUACAUUUGAGUGAGUGGCGAACUGGUGAGUAACACGUGGGAAACCUGCCCAGAAGCGGGGGAUAACACCUGGAAACAGAUGCUAAUACCGCAUAACAACUUGGACCGCAUGGUCCGAGUUUGAAAGAUGGCUUCGGCUAUCACUUUUGGAUGGUCCCGCGGCGUAUUAGCUAGAUGGUGGGGUAACGGCUCACCAUGGCAAUGAUACGUAGCCGACCUGAGAGGGUAAUCGGCCACAUUGGGACUGAGACACGGCCCAAACUCCUACGGGAGGCAGCAGUAGGGAAUCUUCCACAAUGGACGAAAGUCUGAUGGAGCAACGCCGCGUGAGUGAAGAAGGGUUUCGGCUCGUAAAACUCUGUUGUUAAAGAAGAACAUAUCUGAGAGUAACUGUUCAGGUAUUGACGGUAUUUAACCAGAAAGCCACGGCUAACUACGUGCCAGCAGCCGCGGUAAUACGUAGGUGGCAAGCGUUGUCCGGAUUUAUUGGGCGUAAAGCGAGCGCAGGCGGUUUUUUAAGUCUGAUGUGAAAGCCUUCGGCUCAACCGAAGAAGUGCAUCGGAAACUGGGAAACUUGAGUGCAGAAGAGGACAGUGGAACUCCAUGU
RNAcentral lists this ribosomal RNA (681 nucleotides) under Lactiplantibacillus pentosus. RNAcentral's name for it is "bacterial SSU rRNA". It matches the Rfam family "Bacterial small subunit ribosomal RNA", at positions 28 to 674 of the family's 1533-position model. The record is from RNAcentral. Lineage: Bacteria; Bacillati; Bacillota; Bacilli; Lactobacillales; Lactobacillaceae.